CCCCAGUAUCUCCGAGAUGGCUCUAGUUAUCAUCAAGAUUACAUUCCAGUGGGNGAUAACCACCCGAAAGGGUCGCUAAUACCGCAUACGCACGCAAGUGGAAAGGGUUGCAAGACGCGCUGGAAGAGGGGCCUGCCUCCCAUCCCGUGCUUAGUGGUGUCAACGUACUCCCCUUCCUAGUACGGUUCGCUGGCUCUCCACAUGAUGAUCCCCCACGCUCCUCCUGAAACACGGGCCACACUCCUUCCGGAUGCAGCACUUGUAC
Molecule: unclassified non-coding RNA, 265 nt
Filed under: uncultured bacterium
Lineage: Bacteria
Description: partial contains 16S ribosomal RNA and 16S-23S ribosomal RNA intergenic spacer region
Source: RNAcentral